AUUAUUUAUAUAAAUAGAUUAGUUGCUUUCCUACUUCAGAGAAGCAUGCGUAAGCAGUGCUUUGCAGUAGUAAAAAACAUAAAGCAUAUCUAUAAUUAUAUUAACUCUAAGAGAAAUCUAAUAAUAAACGAAGUGAAUUGAAAUAUCUUAGUAACUUUAGGAAAAGAAAUCAAAAGAGAUUCUAUGAUUAGCGUGAGCUAAAAUAGACUAGCCUAGAAAGUAAAAUGGUGGAUAAACUGUUUAAAUUCAAUGGGGAACCUUCCUCAAAGGCUAAAUAUAAUAUAUAAGCGAUAGUGAAAAGUACCGUGAGGGAACUAAAACAAAAACAGUAAUUUUAUAAGCAGUUCGGAAAAAUAAAAAAGUUAGAACGUACCUUUUGCAUAAUGGGUCACCAAGUUAACAUUAGAUGCGAGAUUAUACGUAGUUAAACCGAGCGUUAAAAUAACGGAAAGUGUCUAAAGUUAGACCCGAAGCCUAGUGAUUUUACUAUAAUCAGGAUUAUAAAAGUCCGAACGGAAUAUUGUAGCAUAAAUAUCCGAAGAAUUAUGGUAGGUGUAGUGAAAGACAAUACUGACUAGGAUAGCUGGUUUUCUGCGAAACCUAUAAUAGUAGGCAAUUUAAGUAUAAUAUCUUAGCAGGUACAGAAUUUAAUCUCAGACAAGACAUAUAAAAUGUUUUAUUUUGUACAAAUUGGGGGAUCAUGAAGAUUUUAUCAGUGAGUAUGUAGACUCGGAAUGGCAAAGAUAUAUCUUAAAUCAUCAGACAUAGAAUGAUAAGGUUGUAUGUCAAAAGGGAAACAGCCCAGAACAAGAGUUAAGGUUCCUAAAUUAUUAGUUGAGUGAAAUUAAGAAGGUUUUUAUUAAAGUCGACAAGGAGAUAGGCUUAGAAGCAGCCAUAAUUUUAUGACCUCGUAACAGAGCGCUUGUUAAGUUUUAAAAGCAUCGAAAAUUUAUCGGAUCUAAACAAUAUACCGAAACCUUGUCCAUAAUAUUUUAUAAUAAAAAUAAUAAUUAUAAUUAAAUGGGGUAGCAGAACGUUGAGCUAAAUUACGAUUUUUAUUUUUUAAAUAAAAUUAUAAUAAUUUAACUCAAGUGAUAAUGGUGACAUGAGUAACUAAAAGAAAAUUUUCCGCCUAAAGCUUAUGGAUGUAAUUAAGUAACGGCCUCUAAGUUUAUAUUAUCUAAAGAUUUAAACGAUGAGAUAAUCUUUUUUACUAAGGACGACAUUUUAAGUGAAAAAUGUACUGGAAAAAUAGUAAUAUAUUUAUUUCUUCCUUAACGAAGCACUGCUGCUGCGAAGCAUGCAUGCAUUGAUUAGCUACAAGCUAAUAAAUAAAUGAAAAGUAACCGUACCUAGAAACUGAAACAAGUAAGCUAGUAGAGAAUACGAAGGCGUAAAUGAGCUAACAAUCAUAAAGGAACUCGGCAAAUUGACUACCGUAACUUCGGGAUAAGGAGAGCUCAUUAUUCUUGAUUAAUAUCAAGUAAAGAGGAAGAAGCAUGAAAUAGUGUUGUACGACUGUUUAAUUAAAACACAGCACUUUGCUGAAAGAUUAAAAAUCUAAGUAUAGAGUGUGAUGUCUGCCCGGUGCCGGCUGGUUAACAGAUAUAAUUAGAUAUACUAAUAUUUGAUGUUGACGGAAACCCCGGUUAAAGGCGGCCUUAACGUGAGGGUCCUAAGGUAGCGAAAUGCCUUGGCCGUUAAAUGCGGUCUUGCAUGAAUGAUGUAACGAUACAACAGCUGUCUCUAUGAUUGACUCAGUGAAAUUGGAAUAGCUGUGCAGAUACAGUUUACCUCUAGUUAGACGAGAAGACCCUAUGCAGCUUUACUGUCACUAAUUAUAGAGUAUGAUAAACAAUUUUCAGAUUAUAAGGUAAUUGACCAGAUGACAAUGAGAAUCCUUUAUUUUUUUUUCAUAUGAAUGAACUGGUCUAGGACUAUGAAUUGGCAACAAUUCAUUUUAGUAGAUCAACCUAAUUCAGCUUAUUUUCCUUUCACUGCUCUGCUGCAAAGUAGCAGUAGUGAAAUAGAUAAGUACCCUUGGGUGAGGAACUAUCGCUAGGGGACAGUUUAUGUGGGGCACAGACCCUGUAAAGAGUAAACAGGAGUGUCUAAUAAUUUAUAAUUAUUUUGUUUGCGAUUUAAUAUAGUUUAACUAUUUUUAAUCAUAUAAAAUUAUUUAUAUGUACAUUCGUUGUAUAUAUAUUUAAGAAAAGGUAGGAUUUUCACUAUAUAGAAAUUAGAGAUAAUAAAAAUAUUAAGAAGUAUAGAGCACUGCUGCUUUGCAGCAGCAGCAGCACUAAGUAUUAAUUCUAAUGUUUUUUAACUAUUAUUAAUAAUAGUUAUGUUUUAAUUGUCUAAAAAGCUCAACGGCUAAAUCUUGCCUUACUGUUUGAUUAUCAACAAAUCUUACAGUUGCGUAAGCAGGGCAUAGGAUCACAAGAUGCAACAAGGAAAGAUCUUGGAUUAUUGGAAAAGCUACGCUAGGGAUGUUUGUCCUUUAAUAUUUUAUGUUUGCUGCAUACUACAUAGCAGUGCUCCUGCAAAGCAGGAGCAAAGCCACAAUACAUAAGAUAAUUAAUAAUAUAUUGGGUUAAUUUCAAAAAUUACUUAAUAAGUAAAUUUGAAGCGAAAUUUA
RNAcentral lists this ribosomal RNA (2638 nucleotides) under Fusarium sp. JS1030. RNAcentral describes it as "bacterial LSU rRNA". It matches the Rfam family "Bacterial large subunit ribosomal RNA". Lineage: Eukaryota; Fungi; Ascomycota; Sordariomycetes; Hypocreales; Nectriaceae. The record is from RNAcentral.